This 75-nucleotide transfer RNA is filed under the name Planctomycetota bacterium. RNAcentral describes it as "Planctomycetes bacterium (sediment metagenome) tRNA-Phe". It matches the Rfam family "tRNA". Rfam says of the family: Transfer RNA (tRNA) molecules are approximately 80 nucleotides in length. Lineage: Bacteria; Pseudomonadati; Planctomycetota. The record is from RNAcentral. RNAcentral also lists the same sequence under 2 other names.
GGGUGGGUAGCUCAGUAGUAGAGCACAGCACUGAAAAUGCUGGGGUCGUGGGUGCGAUGCCCACCCCACCCACCA